CCUGUGACCUAAACAACUGCCGGAUACUACAAACCAUGUUUAAAAUUCAAAGAACUUGGCGGUGUCUUAUACAACCAGGGGAACCUGUCCCUUAAUUCGAUAUUCCACGAAUGUCUUACCUUCCCUUGUAUCCCAGCCUGUGUACUGCCGUCGCAUGUAUGCCUCUGAAAGUAAGCAUACAACAAUAAACACUACCGAUGUCAGGUCAAAGUGCAGCCUAUGGGGAGGGGGUGAUGGGUUACACCUCUAACCAGAGCCAACCGCCAAUGAAAAUUGGCCUUAAAGAUGGACCUGAAAGUAAUGAUUCUACUAAAUAAUCAUGAAUUGGAAUCUAAGACAUGCACACAUCGCCCGUCACUCUCGUCGAAAGAUG
This 373-nucleotide ribosomal RNA is filed under the name Limnodrilus grandisetosus. RNAcentral's name for it is "partial 12S ribosomal RNA". It matches the Rfam family "Bacterial small subunit ribosomal RNA", at positions 875 to 1415 of the family's 1533-position model. The record is from RNAcentral. Lineage: Eukaryota; Metazoa; Annelida; Clitellata; Tubificida; Naididae.